CGGAAUUAAUUCAAUGAAAAUGAAUAAUAAAAAUUCUGUUUGAAUUUAAUAGUGGAAAUAUUUUCCUGAAUUCGUGUCUGCUUUUAUGAGUUUUUAUCGUUUAUUCUUCAAACGAAAUUGCUUUUAACCUAGCUGAGGAAGCGGGGUAAAGAGACACGGUGAAAGGAACUGUUUGAAUGUAUUAUCUUAUAUCGUUAUCUCUUGACUCAUGUUGUUCGAACGAUUUCUUACGAAAAUAAUAAUAACCGUCGCAGAGGUCUAAUAUGAUGCUUCUGCGUACCGUUUCUACGUCAUCACCGUUUCGGGCAUAGCUUUAGAAUAUUCUUGCAAGCCUUACAGCAGUAUGCAGUGCAUGAGUGUAUCUCGUUUUUGCUGUCCGUUGAUUUACGCUGUCUAUAAAGGGAGACGACGCCUGAAGGCUUGCUGUGAGAUAACAACCUAGGAUUUGAUGGACAAAACUACUACAGAUGUAAUGUCUGUAACAGUGUGACUUAUUUUAUUUCCAAAAAAUGCCACUAAUGGGCUGAUUGAAAAAUUCAUUGGACAUAAGAUGUUAACAAUGGUUUCCAUUAAAACAUAAAGAUGAACAUGAGGAGGUAAAUCAAAAGGAGUCGAAACGUGGAGAAACAGAGCCCCCCCAUUCAUAGUUUCUUCUAUUGGACUUGGAAAGGAUUUAUGAAGUUAUCAUUUAAACACUUUAAAUGAACAAGGAGACAAGUAAGAAGGAUUCGAAACCUGGAGAAGUGAAGCCCCUGUAAUGUUUUUUAGAAGAAACAUGCGGUCCAAUUCACACUGAUGGUUGGUUGUUCUAAGGUUGCGCAUGUGAUGUUGUGUCUUCUGCUCUGUGGCUCAUUUCACUGUCAAUGGUAUCAUUAUUCCUUUCAAAAGUAUCUAUUGUUAGAGGUACUCUCUGCUGUCAACGCUUAGGAAUAAAACCCGAACACCUUCGAUAAUCCUCGAGUGUUCAACAAUUGGGAAAGAAAUAAAGUUCAGCUUGGUCCUACUGAAACAACCAAUGUGAUUAGCUGUUUACAUCUUUGUCAACAACAUCAUGAAGUUAAUUUUCAACUGAUGUGUGAGAGCAACUGGAGAUUAACUUGAAUUCCAUGGAAACAACAAAUUUUCUGGGAUGGUAUUCUUGCCGGAUUUGUUUUGCUUUUUACACCUGCAAAGUUUGGGAUGUUACAAUCUACAGUUGAUUAAGAUCGACGUUGGAGAAGACAGAGAUGACCCCGUAGUUGAA
This 1243-nucleotide long non-coding RNA is filed under the name Agrilus planipennis (emerald ash borer). RNAcentral describes it as "uncharacterized LOC112904772, transcript variant X1". Lineage: Eukaryota; Metazoa; Arthropoda; Insecta; Coleoptera; Buprestidae. The record is from RNAcentral.